UUUUUGGUUGUGGGCGAUACUCAGGGUUAGCUUGAAAUUGGAGACUGUUUCAGUCUUUUUUAAUUCAACACUUAGCUUCUUUGGAGACGCUGUUCUCGCUGUGAUGUAUUUAUGGAUUUAUUCGUUUUACUUUACAAGGGAAAUGGUAACGUACCUUAGGCAAAGGGUUGCUUUUAAUAUUCAUCAAGUUUGACCUCAAAUCAGGUAGGAUUACCCGCUGAACUUAAGCAUAUCAAUAAGCGGAGGA
RNAcentral lists this unclassified non-coding RNA (247 nucleotides) under uncultured Hanseniaspora. RNAcentral's name for it is "sequence contains ITS2". The stretch from base 191 to 247 matches the Rfam family "Eukaryotic large subunit ribosomal RNA", at positions 1 to 57 of the family's 3401-position model. The record is from RNAcentral. Lineage: Eukaryota; Fungi; Ascomycota; Saccharomycetes; Saccharomycodales; Saccharomycodaceae.